This is a long non-coding RNA of Lemur catta (Ring-tailed lemur), 395 nucleotides long. RefSeq lists it as uncharacterized. The transcript is spliced from 4 exons. The record is from RefSeq and is a predicted model, not a curated record. NCBI's taxonomy places the organism in Eukaryota, Metazoa, Chordata, Mammalia, Primates, Lemuridae.
GGGGCUCGGGCCGCCGGGCCGCCGGCCCCGGGGUGGGGCUCGGCUCUCCUCGGCUCCCGCCUGUGUGGCGCGCGACGCUUGGGACACUCCUUCAGCCUUGUGCUGUUUUUGUAUUUCAUGUGUUUACUUCACACGACCGGGUUGGAGACUGCCCGUGUGGCAAGCGGUUUUGAUGCAGUCUCAGAGAUUAAUGAGGACAUGAAGAAUUGAGGUGGCUCAACCCGAAAAGCACAGUCAUUGCAAAGAACAGCUUCUGAUAAUCACUGAACAUACACCAUAUGCCAGGCAUGGUGCCAGGGCUGGGGCUACAAAGGUGAACAGAAGCAGACAAGACCCUGCCCUUGUGGAGCUUAUAGUCUAGGACUCUGCUUCCUGGGCCGGAGUGCAGUGGCUUC